UCCGGCUUCCCGCCGGCAGUCUCCCGAGAGUCCCCGGCAUGACCCGCUGGUAACUGAGAACAAGGGUUGCGCUCGUUGCGGGACUUAACCCAACAUCUCACGACACGAGCUGACGACAGCCAUGCAGCACCUGUGCAGGAGUCCCGAAGGAGGCCCGUGGUUUCUCACGGGUUUCCCCUGCAUGUCAAGCCCAGGUAUGGUUCUUCGCGUUGCGUCGAAUUAAACCACAUGCUCCACCGCUUGUGCGGGCCCCCGUCAAUUCCUUUGAGUUUCAGCCUUGCGGCCGUACUCCCCAGGCGGGGCACUUCAUGCGUUAGCGCCGGUACUCCAAGGGUCGCUCCCCGGAGCACCUAGUGCCCAUCGUUUACGGCGUGGACUAC
This 380-nucleotide unclassified non-coding RNA is filed under the name uncultured Gemmatimonadaceae bacterium. RNAcentral's name for it is "contains 16S-23S intergenic spacer region". Lineage: Bacteria; Pseudomonadati; Gemmatimonadota; Gemmatimonadia; Gemmatimonadales; Gemmatimonadaceae. The record is from RNAcentral.